Molecule: transfer RNA, 70 nt
Filed under: Sarcophilus harrisii (Tasmanian devil)
Lineage: Eukaryota; Metazoa; Chordata; Mammalia; Dasyuromorphia; Dasyuridae
Rfam family: tRNA
About the family: Transfer RNA (tRNA) molecules are approximately 80 nucleotides in length. Their secondary structure includes four short double-helical elements and three loops (D, anti-codon, and T loops).
Source: Rfam by way of RNAcentral
GAGAAAGUCAUAAAGAUUAUGGGGUUGACUUGGAAUCAAUUUUUUGAGGAUUCAAUUCCUUCCUUUCUCA